Molecule: ribosomal RNA, 798 nt
Filed under: uncultured fungus
Lineage: Eukaryota; Fungi
Description: LSU rRNA
Rfam family: Eukaryotic large subunit ribosomal RNA
Source: RNAcentral
AACACAGGGAUUACCUCAGUAACGGCGAGUGAAGCGGUAACAGCUCAAAUUUGAAAUCUGGCUCUUUCAGGGUCCGAGAUUGUAAUUUGUAGAAGAUGUUUCGGGUGUGGCUCCGGUCUAAGUUCCUUGGAACAGGACGUCGUAGAGGGUGAGAAUCCCGUAUGUGACUGGCUGCCUCCGCCCAUGUGAAACUCUUUCGACGAGUCGAGUUGUUUGGGAAUGCAGCUCAAAAUGGGUGGUAAAUUUCAUCUAAAGCUAAAUAUUGACCAGAGACCGAUAGCGCACAAGUAGAGUGAUCGAAAGAUGAAAAGCACUUUGGAAAGAGAGUUAAACAGUACGUGAAAUUGUUGAAAGGGAAGCGCUUGCAAUCAGACUUGCGCGCGGCCGAUCAUCCGGGGUUCUCCCCGGUGCACUCGGUCGCGUUCAGGCCAGCAUCGGUUUGGGUGGUGGGAUAAAGGCCUUGGGAAUGUAGCUUCUUUCGGGGAGUGUUAUAGCCCUCGGUGCAAUGCCGCCUAUCCAGACCGAGGACCGCGCUUCGGCUAGGAUGCUGGCGUAAUGGUUGUAAGCGACCCGUCUUGAAACACGGACCAAGGAGUCUAACACUUAUGCGAGUAUUUGGGUGUCAAACCCAUAUGCGUAAUGAAAGUGAACGGAGGUGAGAACCCUUAAGGGUGCAUCAUCGACCGGUCCUGAUGUCUUCGGAUGGAUCUGAGUAAGAGCAUAAUUGUUAGGACCCGAAAGAAGGUGAACUAUGCCUGAAUAGGGUGAGGCCAGAGGAAACUCUGGUGGAGGCUCGCA